This 200-nucleotide ribosomal RNA is filed under the name uncultured bacterium. RNAcentral describes it as "partial 16S ribosomal RNA". It matches the Rfam family "Bacterial small subunit ribosomal RNA", at positions 524 to 723 of the family's 1533-position model. The record is from RNAcentral.
GACGGAGGAUGCAAGCGUUAUCCGGAAUUAUUGGGCGUAAAGCGUACGUAGGCUGUUAGAUAAGUCUGUUGUCAAAGCGCGAGGCUCAACCUUGUAAAGGCAAUGGAAACUGUUUGACUAGAGAGAGAUAGGGGCAGGAGGAAUUCCAGGUGUAGCGGUGAAAUGCGUAGAUAUCUGGAAGAACACCAGUGGCGAAAGCG